RNAcentral lists this ribosomal RNA (494 nucleotides) under uncultured Actinomycetes bacterium. RNAcentral describes it as "bacterial SSU rRNA". It matches the Rfam family "Bacterial small subunit ribosomal RNA", at positions 46 to 526 of the family's 1533-position model. The record is from RNAcentral. Lineage: Bacteria; Bacillati; Actinomycetota; Actinomycetes.
GCUUAACACAUGCAAGUCGAGCGAGGACCGCCCGGUGGCAACACCGGGUUGGUGCCUAGCGGCGAACGGGUGAGUAACACGUGGGUAACCUGCCCCCGACACCGGGAUAAGCCUGGGAAACUGGGUCUAAUACCGGAUAUGAGCCUCCUCCGCAUGGUGGGGGCUGGAAAGGGUCCCCGGUCGGGGAUGGGCCCGCGUCCUAUCAGCUUGUUGGUGGGGUAACGGCCUACCAAGGCGACGACGGGUAGCCGGCCUGAGAGGGCGACCGGCCACACUGGGACUGAGAUACGGCCCAGACUCCUACGGGAGGCAGCAGUGGGGAAUAUUGCACAAUGGGCGAAAGCCUGAUGCAGCAACGCCGCGUGCGGGAUGACGGCCUUCGGGUUGUAAACCUCUUUCAGGAGGGACGAAGCCACUCGGGUUAAUAGCCCAGAGGGUGACGGUACCUCCAGAAGAAGCCCCGGCUAACUACGUGCCAGCAGCCGCGGUAAUUC